UAAAAUUUAGCUCAGUUGGUUAGAGCAUGCUGCUAAUAACACCAAGGUUGGGGAUUUGAUCCCCAUGUUGAC
Non-coding RNA from Lamprotornis superbus, 72 nucleotides. The record is from the annotation of a GenBank genome assembly. Lineage: Eukaryota; Metazoa; Chordata; Aves; Passeriformes; Sturnidae.